AGAAGGUGCAGGGAGGAUGUAGAAUGGUCUGUUGGAAUAAGAACUAUUUCCCUUCAGUGUAUAAAUUAAUUUAGUCCUAAAAUUCUUAGUGUUUUAUGUUUGAAAAAUAAGAUUUUUUGGGGUGGUCUGUUCCUGUUAUAUAAGACCACAUCAUAUAAGUAUUGUGAGCCUGUCUGAAUCUACGAUAAGCCUGGAAGAAAGGCCCUAAGGAUGGAAAAUUAAGAAAUAAAAAGAAAGAAGAAAGUUUGCAUCCCCAUUUCAAAAGAAUCUUGUAAUACCUGUUGCAUAAAUCGUUUCUCUCAUUAAAAAAGCAUAAUUCGAAAUUAAA
Long non-coding RNA from Centruroides sculpturatus (bark scorpion), 328 nucleotides. RefSeq lists it as uncharacterized. NCBI's taxonomy places the organism in Eukaryota, Metazoa, Arthropoda, Arachnida, Scorpiones, Buthidae. The record is from RefSeq and is a predicted model, not a curated record. The transcript has 2 exons.